UACGUAGGGGGCAAGCGUUGUCCGGAUUUAUUGGGCGUAAAGAGCGUGUAGGCGGCCAUGCAGGUCAGCUGUGAAAACUCGAUGGCUCAACCUCGAGAUGUCGGUUGAAACCGUAUGGCUAGAGUCCGGAAGAGGAGAGUGGAAUUCCCGGUGUAGCGGUGAAAUGCGCAGAUAUCGGGAAGAACACCCGUGGCGAAGGCGGCUCUCUGGGACGGUACUGACGCUGAGACGCGAAAGCGUGGGGAGCGAACAGG
RNAcentral lists this ribosomal RNA (254 nucleotides) under uncultured bacterium. Its description in RNAcentral is "partial 16S ribosomal RNA". It matches the Rfam family "Bacterial small subunit ribosomal RNA", at positions 524 to 776 of the family's 1533-position model. The record is from RNAcentral.